UAUCAUUUCCUAGCCAUUAUACGGAUAUAUUUAUUAUAUCUUAUGGUAUUGGGUUUUGAUGCAAGCUUCUUGAUCAAAGUAUCACGAGUUUGUUAUAUAAUCGCAAACAAAUUCUUUAAUAAAACGAUGCAUUUAUGUAUUUUUGAUUUGAAAAUUUGGUAUAACUCCAAUUACUCAGGUAUGAUCCAAUUCAAGGACAUUGCCAGGUAGGGAGUUUGACUGGGGCGGUACAUCUCUCAAAUAAUAACGGAGGUGUCCCAAGGCCAGCUCAGUGCGGACAGAAACCACACAUAGAGCAAAAGGGCAAAUGCUGACUUGAUCUCGGUGUUCAGUACACACAGGGACAGCAAAAGCUCGGCCUAUCGAUCCUUUUGGUUUAAAGAGUUUUUAACAAGAGGUGUCAGAAAAGUUACCAUAGGGAUAACUGGCUUGUGGCGGCCAAGCGUUCAUAGCGACGUCGCUUUUUGAUCCUUCGAUGUCGGCUCUUCCUAUCAUUGUGAAGCAAAAUUCACCAAGCGUUGGAUUGUUCACCCAUGCAAGGGAACGUGAGCUGGGUUUAGACCGUCGUGAGACAGGUUAGUUUUACCCUACUAAUGACAAAACGUUGUUGCGACAGCAUUCCUGCGUAGUACGAGAGGAACCGCAGGUACGGACCAAUGGCACAAUACUUGUUCGAGCGAACAGUGGUAUGACGCUACGUCCGUUGGAUUAUGCCUGAACGCCUCUAAGGUCGUAUCCGUGCUGGACUGCAAUGAUAAAUAAGGGGCAAUUUGCAUUGUAUGGCUUCUAAACCAUUAAAAGUUUUUAAUUUAUUUUAUUAACGACAAUGGGAUGUGAUGCCAAUGUUAUUUAUAACAUAGUAAAUUGGGAGGAUCUUCGAUCACCUGAUGCCGCGCUAGUUAUAUUUUAAAACAUUAUUUAAUACAAUGACAAAGCCUAGAAUCAAUUGUAAACGACUUUUGUGACAGGCAAGGUGUUGUAAGUGGUUGAGCAGCUGCCAUACUGCGAUCCACUGAAGCUUAUUCUUUGCUUGAUGAUUCGA
This is a ribosomal RNA of Drosophila sechellia, 1042 nucleotides long. It matches the Rfam family "Eukaryotic large subunit ribosomal RNA", at positions 2495 to 3401 of the family's 3401-position model. The record is from Rfam. Lineage: Eukaryota; Metazoa; Arthropoda; Insecta; Diptera; Drosophilidae.